Molecule: long non-coding RNA, 557 nt
Organism: Triticum urartu
Lineage: Eukaryota; Viridiplantae; Streptophyta; Magnoliopsida; Poales; Poaceae
Source: RefSeq, a predicted model, not a curated record
UAUCAUUCGCCCACACGUUCCAGCGUGAACCGCUACACCUCUAUUGCCGCAGCAAGAUCCCUCCACCAUAUAGGAAAGGCCAAGAUAAGGAAGGAGGAGUCUGCCGUAGGGCCGGUGCCAGCUAUCUCCACCAUCAUCAUUCCAACAUAUAGGAAAUUUGUGUAUGAUUUUGUUCUUAGUGAAUGGUAACAGAUGUAUGUUAUCAUGCCAUGUGCAGGUGGACUGAAAUAGUCAGUUUGACAGGGGAGCAUUGUCUGUGAGCGGAUGGAGUGUGGCUGCCUCAGUGAACUCAGCGCAAUCCAUUGGGGAUGCUCAAACUGGUAAAGUUUAAUAUGGGAGCAAUUGAGCAAGGACGGGUGCUCUGUCCGCAAAUAAUUCAGGCUGGAUUAACUGGUUCACGCAGCAUCGACUGCAAUAGUCGGGAUAUGCCUUUUUUUGCAGCAGAAUUGACACUGUUUUCCCUGGGCAUAUGACUGACUAACUUGUAACGGCGAUGAACUGUACCAAGGCCUAAACGCUCGAUGCUGCAAAUUCAGAGCGACCGUUUGGACAUUGCA